GAUGAACGCUGGCGGCGUGCCUUAAGCAUGCAAGUCGAACGACGUGAUCGCAAGAUUUACGAGUGGCGGACGGGUGAGUAACACGUGGGAAUCUACCCUAAAGUGCAGGAUAACUAGCCGAAAGGUUAGCUAAUACUGCAUGUGAACGAAAGUUUAAAGCUCUUAACUGGGCGCUUUAGGAGGAGCCUGCGAUCUAUCAGCUAGUUGGUGAGGUAAAGGCUCACCAAGGCGACGACGGAUAGCUGGUCUGAGAGGACGGACAGCCACAAUGGCACUGAGACACGGGCCAUACUCCUACGGGAGGCAGCAGUGGGGAAUAUUGGACAAUGGGGGGAACCCUGAUCCAGCCAUGCCGCGUGUGUGAAGAAGGCCUUAUGGUUGUAAAGCACUUUAAGCGAGGAGGAGGCUCUUUUGGUUAAUACCCAAGAUGAGUGGACGUUACUCGCAGAAUAAGCACCGGCUAACUCUGUGCCAGCAGCCGCCGUAA
This 487-nucleotide ribosomal RNA is filed under the name uncultured bacterium. RNAcentral describes it as "partial 16S ribosomal RNA". It matches the Rfam family "Bacterial small subunit ribosomal RNA", at positions 28 to 523 of the family's 1533-position model. The record is from RNAcentral.